GGGCUGGCCAUAAAGAUGGUAACCACUCAAAGCCAAAUGUUAGCGGUGCUGGCUGCGUUUCUGAUUGGUCCAGCCUCAACAACAGGAGGCGCUCUCACCCUGGGCCAAACCAUCAGGAUAAAUGCUCAUCCCUCGACAGAACUGGCCUUACGUUGUGGGGACAGAACGCAUACAGGCGUGAUCCGAUAUUGGCAGACCCCAUUCGGCCAACUCCGUAACCAUGGUAACCGCGGCGACCUUGACCCCGCUCUUUCCAUGCAAAGCGACGGGAGCCUCUUCGUAGCAAACGCCAGCGUUCACCAUAGCGGCCUGUACUACUGCCUCCUAGCGGCCAAGAGCGGAACAACACUCUGGCCUUACCAGGUCAACAUUGGUUUACACAACAGUCCUGACCGACAAAUGGCACCAGGAAGCUCGACCAAGCCAGGCUUCAGACAGGAUCCGGUCCAGUUGAGAUCCAGGACGGAUCCGGUCCAGUCGAGAUCCAGGGAGGACCCGGCUGGCUCUGGGCAGGCAGGUGUUACAAACAGUGUGUUUGCUGGGGCGAUGGUGGCGUCGGUGCUGCUGACCUUCGUGGUGGGCUUCAGCGCCGGAGUCCUGAGCCAGCCCCAAGUCCUCAGGUGUCUGCGGGUCGUCUCCGGUAAGAUCCAAUCACUACGGCGAGGACCACCCACCGGGCGUGGCUGCCAGGUGACCAUGACAACCCUGGAGGUCCCAGACAACAGCGGUGUUUUCUACGAUGACAGCGACUCAGCCCGUGGCGAGACCACCCUGGACUCCACUCGCUCCUCCAGCCCACCGUGGCCCCCCAAGCCCCAGAGAAGCUUCCGGCACAAGAACGGGGAGCAGCCGUGGGCCGCCGCACCCCUGGAGGGGCGGGGUCUAGCCCAGGAGGAGGUGCAGAGGACGAGAGCCACGGAGGGGGAGAAGGAGGUGGAGGAGAGGAUGAAGGAGAGGAAAGAGGGGGAGCCAGAGGAGGGAUGUGUGGAGGCGAGGAGAGAGAGCAGGGGAAAGGAGAAGGAGUUGGAGGAAAGGAGAGAGAGCAGGGACGAGAAGAAAGAGAUGGAGGAGAGGAGAGACAGCAGGAAGGAGGAGAAAGAGAUGGAGGAGAGGAGAGACAGCAGGAAGGAGGAUAAAGAGAUGGAGGAGAGGAGAGACAGCAGGAAGGAGGAGAAAGAGAUGGAGGAGAAGAGAGACAGCAGGAAGGAGGAGAAAGAGAUGGAGGUGAGGCGAGAGAGCAGAGAGAAGGGGAACAGAGAGGGGGAGAAAGAUGAGAAGGAGGUGGAGGAGCGGCUGAAGGAGAGGAGCAGAGUGGGGGAGACAGAUGAGGUGGGGCAGCUGAUAGAGGAGAGGAGCGAUAGGAGGGCAGAGGAGGAGAACACAGAGGGAGAGCCAGGGGAGAUAGUGGAGAGGAGAGGCAUCAGGGAGGGGGAGGCAGGGGUAACUUGGGAGGAGAGCAGGGCAAGUGGAGAACGGUCUCCAACGGUAACCAUAACCGAGGGCAGCAGCGAAGCAGGAGGAAGAGGAGGGACAGGGAGGAAGAGCAAAGGCAUGGCAGAGGGGGAGGAGGUGGUGGUGGAGGGGCAGAUGGAGACCGCCAGCACUGGAGAGGAGCGCCAGAAGGAGGGAGGGGGCGAGGAGCACGGCGACGUUUCCUCAGAAGACGACAACAGCGACUCGUCCUCAGACGAACAGGACGAGGAAAAGCGGGAAAAGGGAAAGGAAGGGAGGGAACAAGUGAACGAAAACGACCAAGGAGCCGAGGGCACAGCCAAGUCGGGCGUCGCCCGGGGCCGGAGGAGCCGCGUGAUUCGUCUGUACCAGUAUGACGACGAGGGCCAGAGGUACAGCCACCUGCCUAGCCCCGCCUCCAUCGAGUUAGACCCCGCCCCGAGGCUCAAACAGCGCUCGCUGUCACUGACGCGUCUCAGCUCCAUCAUGGCCGCCGCUACGGCCGGCCCCCUGACCCUCCCCAGUGGGGGGCCGGGGUUGGAGGAGCGAUGUCCCAGCCCCCCCUUCUCCCCGGCUCCUUUCUUCAACAUGGAUUUAUAAAACCAGAGCUGCUUUUGACUUCAGUGACAGGCCGAGGUCAGGCAUCGUCAGCCCCGCUGACUGAUGGCCGUCCACACCGGUCUAGUACAGCACAUCUUGUUUAAGUUGACCAAUGUUUAAUUAUGCAUUAUGGAGAGAAUGCGCCUUCACAGGAAAAUACGAUUGAGCACCUUGAUGCCAAUUGCUUAUUAAAAACGAGCAUGGCAAGAAUUAAGACGUUUAUGCUGGAGCUUUCUUGAAACGGACCAGACAGAACGGCCACAUAGCCCAACUAGCAAGAUUGAUCCACAGCCAUUAGUCACACUAAACCCACUCCGUCACAGAUUGAUAUUUCAUUCAUAUUUGGGCAUUUAAUACUGGAAGCAUCUUGGUGUUCUCCUGGAUGUUGGGGAGAACCUUUGGGACAUGUGGUUCAGACCUACUGAAAAGUCCCCGCUCCCCUACAGAGGACUACUCAUACACAUCACAAUCUACCCCGCCGUCAAUACAUCAAAGGCCCCAUCAUAUAACA
Long non-coding RNA from Gadus morhua (Atlantic cod), 2563 nucleotides. The record is from Ensembl. NCBI's taxonomy places the organism in Eukaryota, Metazoa, Chordata, Actinopteri, Gadiformes, Gadidae.